UGCAUAUUUAUUUUCUUGUUAAUAACUCUCAUAAUUGCCUGCUACUGUUUCAGUUCUGGGGCCAGGCAACCUUGAAUCCAACGUCCACCUGCAGGCUACAUCUCAGAAAACUCAUGAACAUCAUGGCGCCUUGUUGAUGGGGUGAUCAAUAGCUACUAUAUUGGGACCCUGCACUUAAAUUGGGAAAUUGCAAAGCAUAUUAUGAAUUGUUACAAGAAACUAUUUCCGCUGUUUUGGUGCAAGGAUGUUGCUUUUUAGUAUGCUUCCCAUAUCUUGGUAUCUUGGAAUAAUAAACAGAUAGAUGUCGUGUACCAAGAUUGUUCCUUGUUGUUAAGAGGGAUACAAAUAUUAUACAAGAAUUUUUCUGAUGACUCCUAAAGCAUAUUUGGAUAUACAGCAAAGUAUAUUGUCGCUUCCCUGUUAGUAAAACAAUUAUGU
This is a long non-coding RNA of Triticum dicoccoides, 438 nucleotides long. RefSeq lists it as uncharacterized. NCBI's taxonomy places the organism in Eukaryota, Viridiplantae, Streptophyta, Magnoliopsida, Poales, Poaceae. The transcript is spliced from 3 exons. The record is from RefSeq and is a predicted model, not a curated record.